CGACAGGAGCGAAUCCCAAACCACGUCUCAGUUCGGAUCGGAGUCUGCAACCCGACUCCGUGAAGCUGGAUUCGCUAGUAAUCGCGCAUCAGCCAUGGCGCGGUGAAUACGUUCCCGGGCCUUGUACACACCGCCCGUCAAGCCAUGGGAGCCGGGGGUACCUGAAGUCCGUAACCGCGAGGAUCGGCCUAGGGUAAAACUGGUGACUGGGGCUAAGUCGUAACAAGGUACC
Molecule: ribosomal RNA, 232 nt
Filed under: uncultured bacterium
Lineage: Bacteria
Description: partial 16S ribosomal RNA
Rfam family: Bacterial small subunit ribosomal RNA
Source: RNAcentral